CCUACGUGAGGCAGCAGUGGGGAAUAUUGCACAAUGGGGGAAACCCUGAUGCAGCGACGCCGCGUGAGUGAAGAAGUAAUUCGUUAUGUAAAGCUCUAUCAGCAGGGAAGAAAAUGACGGUACCUGAGUAAGAAGCCCCGGCUAACUACGUGCCAGCAGCCGCGGUAAUACGUAGGGGGCAAGCGUUACCCGGAUUUACUGGGUGUAAAGGGAGCGUAGACGGCAGUGCAAGUCUGGAGUGAAAGGCGGGGGCUCAACCCCCGGACUGCUCUGGAAACUGUACGGCUGGAGUGCAGGAGAGGUAAGUGGAAUUCCUAGUGUAGCGGUGAAAUGCGUAGAUAUUAGGAGGAACACCAGUGGCGAAGGCGGCUUACUGGACUGUAACUGACGUUGAGGCUCGAAAGCGUGGGGAGCAAACAGGAUUAGAUACCCCGGUAGUC
This 440-nucleotide ribosomal RNA is filed under the name uncultured bacterium. Its description in RNAcentral is "partial 16S ribosomal RNA". It matches the Rfam family "Bacterial small subunit ribosomal RNA", at positions 338 to 795 of the family's 1533-position model. The record is from RNAcentral.